ACGGAGGGGGCAAGCGUUGUUCGGAAUUACUGGGCGUAAAGCGCACGUAGGUGGCUAAGUAAGUCAAAGGUGAAAGCCCUCGGCUCAACCGGGGAACUGCCUUUGAAACUGCCUAGCUUGAGUCCGGGAGGGGGGAGCAGAAUUCCCAGUGGAGCGGUGAAAUGCGUAGAUACUGGGAGGAAUACCGGUGGCGAAGGCGGCUCCCUGGACCGGUACUGACACUGAGGUGCGAAAGCGUGGGUAGCAAACAGG
This 252-nucleotide ribosomal RNA is filed under the name uncultured bacterium. Its description in RNAcentral is "partial 16S ribosomal RNA". It matches the Rfam family "Bacterial small subunit ribosomal RNA", at positions 525 to 776 of the family's 1533-position model. The record is from RNAcentral.